ACUCAAAGGAAUAGACGGGGGCCCGCACAAGCGGUGGAGCAUGUGGAUUAAUUCGAGGCAACGCGAAGAACCUUACCAAGGCUUGACAUGGAGACGAAACCGACAGAAAUGCCGGCCUCCCUUCGGGGACGUCUCACACAGGUGGUGCAUGGUUGUCGUCAGCUCGUGUCGUGAGAUGUUGGGUUAAGUCCCGCAACGAGCGCAACCCUUAUGUUCAGUUGCCACCGGGUAACGCCGGGCACACUGGAGAGACUGCCGUGGACAACACGGAGGAAGGUGGGGACGACGUCAAAUCAUCAUGCCCCUUACGUCUUGGGCUUCACACGUGCUACAAUGGCUCAAACAAAGUGAUGCAAAGCAGCGAUGCGGAGCGGAUCACGAAAAGGAGUCCCAGUUCGGAUUGCAGGCUGCAACUCGCCUGCAUGAAGUUGGAAUCGCUAGUAAUCGCGAAUCAGCAUGUCGCGGUGAAUACGUUCCCGGGCCUUGUACACACCGCCCGU
RNAcentral lists this ribosomal RNA (500 nucleotides) under uncultured bacterium. RNAcentral describes it as "bacterial SSU rRNA". It matches the Rfam family "Bacterial small subunit ribosomal RNA", at positions 899 to 1397 of the family's 1533-position model. The record is from RNAcentral.